CGAAGGGUGCUAGCGUUGUUCGGAAUCACUGGGCGUAAAGCGUGCGUAGGCGGCUUUGCAAGCCAGAGGUGAAAGCCUGGAGCUUAACUCCAGAAUUGCCUUUGGAACUGCAUGGCUAGAGUGUCGGAGGGGAUAGCGGAAUUCCUAAUGUAGCGGUGAAAUGCGUGGAUAUUAGGAGGAACACCGGUGGCGAAGGCGGCUAUCUGGACGACAACUGACGCUGAGGCACGAAAGCGUGGGGAUCAAACAGGAUUAGAUACCCUGGUAGUCCACGCCGUAAACGAUGGAUGCUAGCCGUCGGGGGGUUACCUCUCGGUGGCGCAGCUAACGCGCUAAGCAUCCCGCCUGGGGAGUACGGUCGCAAGACU
This 368-nucleotide ribosomal RNA is filed under the name uncultured organism. RNAcentral's name for it is "bacterial SSU rRNA". It matches the Rfam family "Bacterial small subunit ribosomal RNA", at positions 526 to 895 of the family's 1533-position model. The record is from RNAcentral.